GAUGAACGCUGGCGGCGUGCCUAAUACAUGCAAGUCGAACGAAACUUCUUUAUCACCGAGUGCUUGCACUCACCGAUAAAGAGUUGAGUGGCGAACGGGUGAGUAACACGUGGGCAACCUGCCCAAAAGAGGGGGAUAACACUUGGAAACAGGUGCUAAUACCGCAUAACCAUAGUUACCGCAUGGUAACUAUGUAAAAGGUGGCUAUGCUACCGCUUUUGGAUGGGCCCGCGGCGCAUUAGCUAGUUGGUGAGGUAAAGGCUUACCAAGGCAAUGAUGCGUAGCCGAACUGAGAGGUUGAUCGGCCACAUUGGGACUGAGACACGGCCCAAACUCCUACGGGAGGCAGCAGUAGGGAAUCUUCCGCAAUGGGCGAAAGCCUGAUGGGGCAACGCCGCGUGGGUGAAGAAGGUCUUCGGAUCGUAAAACCCUGUUGUUAGAGAAGAAAGUGCGUGAGAGUAACUGUUCACGUUUCGACGGUAUCUAACCAGAAAGCCACGGCUAACUACGUGCCAGCAGCCGCGGUAAUACGUAGGUGGCAAGCGUUAUCCGGAUUUAUUGGGCGUAAAGGGAACGCAGGCGGUCUUUUAAGUCUGAUGUGAAAGCCUUCGGCUUAACCGGAGUAGUGCAUUGGAAACUGGGAGACUUGAGUGCAGAAGAGGAGAGUGGAACUCCAUGUGUAGCGGUGAAAUGCGUAGAUAUAUGGAAGAACACCAGUGGCGAAAGCGGCUCUCUGGUCUGUAACUGACGCUGAGGUUCGAAAGCGUGGGUAGCAAACAGGAUUAGAUACCCUGGUAGUCCACGCCGUAAACGAUGAAUGCUAAGUGUUGGAGGGUUUCCGCCCUUCAGUGCUGCAGCUAACGCAAUAAGCAUUCCGCCUGGGGAGUACGACCGCAAGGUUGAAACUCAAAGGAAUUGACGGGGGCCCGCACAAGCGGUGGAGCAUGUGGUUUAAUUCGAAGCAACGCGAAGAACCUUACCAGGUCUUGACAUCUUCUGACAAUCCUAGAGAUAGGACUUUCCCUUCGGGGACAGAAUGACAGGUGGUGCAUGGUUGUCGUCAGCUCGUGUCGUGAGAUGUUGGGUUAAGUCCCGCAACGAGCGCAACCCUUAUUGUUAGUUGCCAGCAUUAAGUUGGGCACUCUAGCAAGACUGCCGGUGACAAACCGGAGGAAGGUGGGGAUGACGUCAAAUCAUCAUGCCCCUUAUGACCUGGGCUACACACGUGCUACAAUGGACGGUACAACGAGUCGCAAGACCGCGAGGUUUAGCAAAUCUCUUAAAGCCGUUCUCAGUUCGGAUUGUAGGCUGCAACUCGCCUACAUGAAGUCGGAAUCGCUAGUAAUCGCGGAUCAGCAUGCCGCGGUGAAUACGUUUCCGGGCCU
This 1385-nucleotide ribosomal RNA is filed under the name uncultured bacterium. RNAcentral describes it as "16S ribosomal RNA". It matches the Rfam family "Bacterial small subunit ribosomal RNA", at positions 28 to 1381 of the family's 1533-position model. The record is from RNAcentral.